This 405-nucleotide unclassified non-coding RNA is filed under the name soil metagenome. RNAcentral's name for it is "partial contains 5.8S ribosomal RNA, internal transcribed spacer 2, and large subunit ribosomal RNA". The stretch from base 1 to 121 matches the Rfam family "5.8S ribosomal RNA", at positions 35 to 154 of the family's 154-position model. The record is from RNAcentral.
GAUGAAGAACGUAGCGAAAUGCGAUAAGUAAUGUGAAUUGCAGAAUUCAGUGAAUCAUCGAAUCUUUGAACGCACCUUGCGCCCUUUGGACAUUCCGAAGGGCAUGCCUGUUUGAGUAUCAUGAACACCUCAACUCUCACGGCUUGUCCGUGAUGAGCUUGGACUUUGGGGGUCUUGUCGGCCUGUGGUCGGCUCCUCUCAAAUGGAUCAGCUUGCCAGUGUUUGGUGGCAUCACAGGUGUGAUAACUAUCUGCGCUUGUGGUUUUCCAUCAGAUAACCUUCAGUGAUAUGGAGGUUCGCUGGAGCUCACAAAUGUCUCUCCUUAGUGAGGACAGCUCUUUGAACGUUUGAUCUCAAAUCAGGUAGGACUACCCGCUGAACUUAAGCAUAUCAAUAAGCGGAGGA